This 308-nucleotide long non-coding RNA is filed under the name Coccomyxa subellipsoidea. Its description in RNAcentral is "long non-coding RNA (CSUB_LNC000625)". The record is from RNAcentral. Lineage: Eukaryota; Viridiplantae; Chlorophyta; Trebouxiophyceae; Coccomyxaceae.
CAGCUUCUAUCUUUGUGUUCUCCAUGACAAUGCUCUUACAGAGGUGGUGAAUGCUCUGUGCCUUCAGAUACGCCCUCCUCCAUUCCAGGUCUCGACUGAGCACAACACUUGCCUGUCAGAGGUUCUUAUGGUGGAGCCAGGGCGGCACAUAGGAGGCAAAUCAAUCUGCGCAUUAUCUCAGGCAGGUGUUUGUGGCGCACUCGUAGUAAUCAUGCAGCACACGCACGAAUGUGUGGGGCACCACUCCCUUUGAAAGUAGCUCUUUUGCCAGCAGCGCCUGGGUGUCUGAGGUGCAUUUAUGAUUUCUU